This 482-nucleotide ribosomal RNA is filed under the name uncultured bacterium. RNAcentral describes it as "partial 16S ribosomal RNA". It matches the Rfam family "Bacterial small subunit ribosomal RNA", at positions 30 to 505 of the family's 1533-position model. The record is from RNAcentral.
AUUGAACGCUGGCGGCAGGCCUAACACAUGCAAGUCGAGCGGAUGAAGGGAGCUUGCUCCUGGAUUCAGCGGCGGACGGGUGAGUAAUGCCUAGGAAUCUGCCUGGUAGUGGGGGAUAACGUCCGGAAACGGGCGCUAAUACCGCAUACGUCCUGAGGGAGAAAGUGGGGGAUCUUCGGACCUCACGCUAUCAGAUGAGCCUAGGUCGGAUUAGCUAGUUGGUGGGGUAAAGGCCUACCAAGGCGACGAUCCGUAACUGGUCUGAGAGGAUGAUCAGUCACACUGAAAUGGAAACCCGGCCCAGACCCCUCCGGAGGGCAGAGGGGGGAAAUUUUGGCAAGGGGCGAAACCCUUAAUCCACCAAGGCCGGGGGUGAGAGGAAGGUUUCCGUUUUGAAAGCCUUUUAAGGUGGGAAGAAGGGGCAGUAAUUAAUUCCCUGCUUUUUUUGCCGUAACAAAAAAAAAAGCAACCGCCUAAUUUCG